This 434-nucleotide unclassified non-coding RNA is filed under the name soil metagenome. RNAcentral's name for it is "partial contains 5.8S ribosomal RNA, internal transcribed spacer 2, and large subunit ribosomal RNA". The stretch from base 1 to 121 matches the Rfam family "5.8S ribosomal RNA", at positions 35 to 154 of the family's 154-position model. The record is from RNAcentral.
GAUGAAGAACGUAGUGAACGUGCGAAACGUAAUGUGAAUUGCAGAAUUCAGUGAAUCAUCGAAUCUUUGAACGCAUAUUGCGCUCUCUGGUAUUCCGGAGAGCAUGCUUGUUUGAGUAUCAGUAAACACCUCAACUUCCAUAUCUUUUUUGAAAUGGGAGUUGGACUUGAGUGAUCCCAACGCUUUUCCUCACCGAAAAGUGGCGGGUUACUUGAAAUGCAGGUGCAGCUGGACUUUUCUCUGAGCUAUAAGCAUAUCUAUUUAGUCUGCCUAAAAAACAGAUUAUUACCUUUGCUGCAGCUAACAUAAAGGAGAUUAGUUCUUGUGCUGACUGAUGCAGGAUUCACAAAGACAGGCUUCGGCCGACUUUGUAAACUCGAUCUCAAAUCAAGUAAGACUACCCGCUGAACUUAAGCAUAUCAAUAAGCGGAGGA